CGGCCGUUGGCGAGGACGUCGUCGGUCUCGGCGGCGAAGCCGACGAUCACCUGUCCGGGACGGGCGCGGUCGGC
RNAcentral lists this transfer RNA (74 nucleotides) under Streptomyces cyanogenus. RNAcentral's name for it is "tRNA-Glu". The record is from RNAcentral. Lineage: Bacteria; Bacillati; Actinomycetota; Actinomycetes; Kitasatosporales; Streptomycetaceae.